AUCGGAAGAGGAUGGGCGAUGCGGCGCAUUAGCUUGACGGCGGGGUAACGGCCCGACCGUCGGCGACGAUGCGUAGGGGUUCGUGAGAGGAAGGUCCCCACCACUGGUACUGAGACACGGACCACGACUCCUACGGAGGCGAGCAGUGAGGAAUAUUGGUCAAUGGGAGGAGAUCCUGAACCAGCCAAGCCGCGUGAGGGAAGACGGCCCUAUGGGUUGUAAACCUCUUUUGUCGGAGAACAAAACCCGGGACGUGUCCCGGACUGCGUGUAUCCGAAGAAAAAGCAUCGGCUAACUCCGUG
This 302-nucleotide ribosomal RNA is filed under the name uncultured Bacteroidota bacterium. RNAcentral's name for it is "bacterial SSU rRNA". It matches the Rfam family "Bacterial small subunit ribosomal RNA", at positions 214 to 507 of the family's 1533-position model. The record is from RNAcentral. Lineage: Bacteria; Pseudomonadati; Bacteroidota.